RNAcentral lists this unclassified non-coding RNA (496 nucleotides) under Hevea brasiliensis (rubber tree). The record is from RNAcentral. Lineage: Eukaryota; Viridiplantae; Streptophyta; Magnoliopsida; Malpighiales; Euphorbiaceae.
AUUUAUUUCAAUGAGUUAUGUGAUUAGAAAACAUGACUGAUAGAUUAUCCAACUAGAAAAUGUCACAGAUUUUUCUAGGUUUUACCAUGAAAAUAAAAUUUACAAGCUAGGGCUGAAAAACUAACAGACUAAAGUUCGAUGAUGCCAAAAACAUUGUUGGUCCACAACAGAGUUGUGGUCACUGGUGGAGAACUGUCAAGCAGAAAUUGUGGAGAACUUCUCUUGGAUUGAUAAGUUGUCCUUAUUAUUCAGAUGGGCUGACCUUUCGGAACGAUUUGAUCCUUAAUCCACAUGUAUAUUGGAACGAGCACGUAGUAACUUGCAGCCAUUAUGCCAAGCAGGAAUCGCAUGAGAAAUACAAAAGGGUUCACAGGCUUGCUCACAUCCUCAACCUUGGGACCGAGCUGCAAUGGUGAUUCCCCAGCAUAUGGCUUCACUCCAGUCACAGAGCAGCCCAUGAUCAACCCGUGUCGGCGGACACCACGAUACCAUUUUG